Long non-coding RNA from Vombatus ursinus (common wombat), 497 nucleotides. RefSeq lists it as uncharacterized. The record is from RefSeq and is a predicted model, not a curated record. Lineage: Eukaryota; Metazoa; Chordata; Mammalia; Diprotodontia; Vombatidae. The transcript is spliced from 3 exons.
UCAACUGGGGCAGCUCCUAGGUGAACUUGCUGAACAGUGAGAAAGAGACUGCAGUGGAACCUCUCUGAAGACAUUGCUGUCCACUCCACGUGGACCUGGUGGCCUCCUCCUCCUUACUGACAUAUAUGUUGACUCCUCACAGAGCCAACUAUAUCACCACGAGAUCCAUUUCAAGAUUCUGCUACAUCUGGCAUGGCAGACCAAGUUUCAAGCCAAUCUGAGUCAACAAAGUCUGUUGCUAGCAGAUGAAAAGUGCUAUGUGAAAUCGUAACGUCAAAAAUCAGGGGUCCAUUAUCUCGCACAUCGUGGAAAAACAGCACAGUGGUCGUUCAGUCUCCUUUUGACCCACCCCUUGAAGCACUUUCCUCUACGCACCAUGUGCCCUUCAAAAGAACAGCUGACCCAGUUCAUAAGGACCAUGCAGUACUGCUGGAGAAAGACAAGAAGACUCUUCAGACAGAGGUGCCUUGCUGCUUCAGCUAUGAUGGUUUGCUUGC